Molecule: ribosomal RNA, 949 nt
Filed under: uncultured Leuconostoc sp.
Lineage: Bacteria; Bacillati; Bacillota; Bacilli; Lactobacillales; Lactobacillaceae
Description: bacterial SSU rRNA
Rfam family: Bacterial small subunit ribosomal RNA
Source: RNAcentral
GCGUGGCGGCGGCUAUAAUGCAAGUCGACGCACAGCGAAAGGUGCUUGCACCUUUCAAGUGAGUGGCGAACGGGUGAGUAACACGUGGACAACCUGCCUCAAGGCUGGGGAUAACAUUUGGAAACAGAUGCUAAUACCGAAUGAAACUUAGUGUCGCAUGAUACGAAGUUAAAAGGCGCUUUGGCGUCACCUAGAGAUGGAUCCGCGGUGCAUUAGUUAGUUGGUGGGGUAAAGGCCUACCAAGACAAUGAUGCAUAGCCGAGUUGAGAGACUGAUCGGCCACAUUGGGACUGAGACACGGCCCAAACUCCUACGGGAGGCUGCAGUAGGGAAUCUUCCACAAUGGGCGAAAGCCUGAUGGAGCAACGCCGCGUGUGUGAUGAAGGCUUUCGGGUCGUAAAGCACUGUUGUAUGGGAAGAACAGCUAGAAUAGGGAAUGAUUUUAGUUUGACGGUACCAUACCAGAAAGGGACGGCUAAAUACGUGCCAGCAGCCGCGGUAAUACGUAUGUCCCGAGCGUUAUCCGGAUUUAUUGGGCGUAAAGCGAGCGCAGACGGUUGAUUAAGUCUGAUGUGAAAGCCCGGAGCUCAACUCCGGAAUGGCAUUGGAAACUGGUUAACUUGAGUGCAGUAGAGGUAAGUGGAACUCCAUGUGUAGCGGUGGAAUGCGUAGAUAUAUGGAAGAACACCAGUGGCGAAGGCGGCUUACUGGACUGUAACUGACGUUGAGGCUCGAAAGUGUGGGUAGCAAACAGGAUUAGAUACCCUGGUAGUCCACACCGUAAACGAUGAACACUAGGUGUUAGGAGGUUUCCGCCUCUUAGUGCCGAAGCUAACGCAUUAAGUGUUCCGCCUGGGGAGUACGACCGCAAGGUUGAAACUCAAAGGAAUUGACGGGGACCCGCACAAGCGGUGGAGCAUGUGGUUUAAUUCGAAGCAACGCGAAGAAC